This 148-nucleotide non-coding RNA is filed under the name Homo sapiens (human). The record is from Rfam by way of RNAcentral. Lineage: Eukaryota; Metazoa; Chordata; Mammalia; Primates; Hominidae.
GCUGGGUGUGGUGAUGCACACCUGUAGUCCCAGCUACUUAGGAAGCUGAGUUGGGAGGAUUGCUUGAGCCCAGGAGUUCAGAGGCUGCAGUGAGCUGUGAUUGCACCACUGCACUCCAGCCUGGGAGAAGAGCAAGACCCUGCCUCUA